AUUCCCCUAGUAACUGCGAGUGAAGCGGGAAAAGCUCAAAUUUAAAAUCUGGUGGCCUUUGUCCAUCCGAGUUGUAAUUUAGAGAAGCGUUUUCCGCGCUGGACCGUGCACAAGUCUCCUGGAAUGGAGCGUCAUAGAGGGUGAGAAUCCCGUCUUUGGCACGGACACCGGGGCUUUUGUGAUGCGCUCUCAAAGAGUCGAGUUGUUUGGGAAUGCAGCUCAAAAUGGGUGGUGAACUCCAUCUAAAGCUAAAUAUUGGCGAGAGACCGAUAGCGAACAAGUACCGUGAGGGAAAGAUGAAAAGCACUUUGGAAAGAGAGUGAAACAGUACGUGAAAUUGUUGAAAGGGAAACGCUUGAAGUCAGUCGCGUCGCCCGAGACUCAGCCUUGCCUUGGCUUGGUGUACUUCUCGGCUGACGGGUCAGCAUCAAUUUUGCCCCUUGGAUAAUGGUGAGGGAAAUGUGACACCUUUAUAGGUGUGUUAUAGUCUCUCGUCGCAUGCAAGGGUCGGGAUUGAGGAACUCAGCACGCGCCCUCGGGCGUCGGGGUUCGCCCACGAUACGUGCUUAGGAUGUUGGCGUAAUGGCUUUAAACGACCCGUCUUGAAACACGGACCAAGGAGUCUAACAUGCCCGCGAGUGUUCGGGUGGAAAACCCGUGCGCGCAAUGAAAGUGAAAGUUGGGACCUCUGUCGUGGAGGGCACCAACGCCCGGACCAGACCUUCUGUGACGGAUCUGCGGUAGAGCGUGUAUGUUAGGACCCGAAAGAUGGUGAACUAUGCCUGAAUAGGGUGAAGCCAGAGGAAACUCUGGUGGAGGCUCGUAGCGAUUCUGACGUGCAAAUCGAUCGUCAAAUUUGGGUAUAGGGGCGAAAGAC
Molecule: ribosomal RNA, 877 nt
Filed under: Russula luteotacta
Lineage: Eukaryota; Fungi; Basidiomycota; Agaricomycetes; Russulales; Russulaceae
Description: eukaryotic LSU rRNA
Rfam family: Eukaryotic large subunit ribosomal RNA
Source: RNAcentral